AACUUCCCAACAUUUUUCAGAGCCUAUUGCUUAUUCAUUCAGAGCAGGAGCAAAGCCGUCCAGUCAACAGGAAUGAGCAAGCGGGAUGAAGUGACGUCCCCUGCAACGGGCAGAGCAGCAAUGUGAAGAAACAGCAACAAACAAACAACAGCAAAUAUCCAAAGAGAAAGGGGGGGAAGUUCCAGAUUCUUUGGAGUUCUACGGAGCCUCAUUCCUCUCUCUCUCUCUCUCUCCCCCCUCCAACAAGCUCAAUAUGAAGCUUGCGGGAGACCCCCAGAGCAGCUUCAAACAAGCCAGGAAUGGACAAAGUUGAGAUUAAUUCACCUAAGGAAGACGAAAAGGCAGUGGAGGAAGAGACAAGGCAAGCUGCCACAACCGAACGUCCAGGGUGCUCUUCUGCAAUUCCCUCCCAGAAAGAACAUCCGUCGAGGUUGUCGACCCCUUGCAUCUUGGCUUCACCAUGACCUCUCUUGGCUUCUGGGACCUGUGGGCUUUGAUGGGCUUUGGGGCUCUUCUGCUGGUCCGGGGGCAACAUCCACAGGGCAGCCACGCAGACAACGGACGCUGGAGGCAGAUGAUCCAGUGGGAGAACAAUGGCCGGGUGUACAGCCUCCUGAACUCAGGCUCGGAGUACAUCCCUGCCAGCCAGGUGAGGGCAGACAGCAGCGCAAGGGUCAUGCUGGCCGAUGCUGCCACAAGCCAGGGUCAAAGGGUUCCGGGGAACACUCGGCGACAGGCCCCCAACUUGCCAAUCCGGGCAGGAUCUGAUACCAUCCGGGGACAGACACGGCAUCCAUUUGGCUUUGGACAGGUCCCAGACAACUGGAGGGAUGGAACCACUGGGGACAGUAGCUCCAACUCCCAACGUCCCCACUCACCCACCAUUCGGCAGCGUCAGGUUGGCUCCUCUUCCUCCUCCUUUGCACAUUCCUCAUUUGGACAGCUCUACCCCCAGGCCUCUUUCCCUCAGCCUCAGCCACCUUUUGCCAACCAAUAUGAGACCUAUGACCCACAGGUUCCCCGCCCGUAUGACGAGAGCUACACCUACUAUCGCACCACCGGCACUGGAGGGGGUGUUGUCGCUGCAGCCGCAGCUAGCGCAGGAGUCAUAUAUCCUUUCCAGCCCAGGGUGAGAUAUGAGGAGUAUGCAGAGGACCAAAGUCCAUAUAGAGCUCAAGGAUACUACCCUGCACAGGAAAGACCCUACGUACCUGUCCCCCAACAGCUCCAGCCCUCCGAUGGCUUGGAUAGAAGGUACUCACACAGCCUCUAUCAUGAUACUGGCACUAGCUACGACCAAAGUGUCCAGGACCCUUAUGUGUCCACCCAGAACCAACAGUCUGUAGGACAAGGGGUUCCUGUUGCAGAUAACUUGCAUAUUAACUCUGGAUCUCCUGUGAGUGCCGGCACCAGGUACAGGAAUGAGCCAUGGGCAGGGCAGUAUCCUCCCUUUGGGGAGGUGCCAGCAGAGCCCUACGUUCCUCCCCGCAACAUGGAACCUCAGCCACCUUUCCGGCCCUUAGACCCCCAUGGGGUCCCUAGGCCUGAACCUUACCUUCCCAUCCGGAACUCUGAGCCUCCCCAACUGAUUCCAGACAGCCAAAGUGUUAGCCAAGGCCGGGUCAGCGUGGGCAGCAUCUACAGACCCAAUCAGAAUGGACGGGGCCUCCCCGACCUCGUGCCAGACCCAAACUAUGUCCAAGCUUCCACUUAUGUCCAAAGGGCCCAUCUCUACUCUCUCCGUUGCGCCGCUGAAGAGAAGUGUCUUGCAAGCACUGCCUAUACCCCCGAAGCGACAGACUACGAUGUCCGGGUGCUCCUGCGCUUCCCCCAGCGAGUGAAGAACCAAGGCACAGCAGACUUCUUGCCAAACCGGGCUCGCCACACCUGGGAGUGGCACAGCUGCCAUCAGCAUUACCACAGCAUGGAUGAAUUCAGCCACUAUGACCUGCUAGAUGCUGCCACGGGCAAGAAAGUGGCAGAGGGCCACAAAGCGAGCUUUUGCCUGGAAGACACCACCUGUGACUUCGGGAACCUAAAGCGCUACGCCUGCACAUCACACACACAGGGUCUGAGCCCUGGUUGUUAUGAUACUUACAAUGCUGACAUUGACUGCCAGUGGAUUGAUAUCACAGAUGUGCAGCCUGGGAAUUACAUCCUCAAAGUUCAGGUGAACCCGAAGUAUAUUGUGAUGGAGUCAGACUUCACCAACAACGUGGUGAGAUGCAACGUUCACUACACCGGGCGCUAUGUUGCCACUACAAACUGCAAAAUCUCCCAGGAGAUCUUAUAAAGUUUCAUCAAAGCAAGUGUUAUCCCGCGCUUUCCAGUACAUCUCCCCAUCAUUUUCCUAAUUGCAAAAAGUCCAGUCUUUCAGGGAAGUGGAUUUGUUGUGCAAGAACUCCCAAUCAACUAUAAUUGCACAACCUGAAUUUGCUGGUCUUGAUCCUAACCAAGAUGGCAGAAGCUUUACCAUCUCCCUGUCCCCAAACCCUGCAAAAUCCAAAUAUCUCUCAGGCUGGUAGCAACUCACAGAGGAAGCGGCUUGAGAGCCACCAGCAUCUACCAUGAGAGGACACCCAUUCCAUAGCUUUGUUUUGAGAACCCAAGUUAAAGAGUUGUCACUUUCAAUACUUUUAUAAAUACUUUCGUCUUUAA
Molecule: RNA transcript, 2658 nt
Organism: Rhineura floridana
Lineage: Eukaryota; Metazoa; Chordata; Lepidosauria; Squamata; Rhineuridae
Gene: LOXL1
Gene name: lysyl oxidase like 1
Exons: 8
Source: RefSeq, a predicted model, not a curated record